CCUACGGGAGGCAGCAGUGAGGGAUAUUGGUCAAUGGGGGCGACCCUGAUCCAGCGAAGCCGCGUGAGUGAAGAAGUAUCUCGGUAUGUUAAGCUCUAUCUGCAGGGGAGUAGAAAUGACGGUACCUGAGUAAGAAGCCCCGGCUAACUACGUGCAAGCAGCCGCGGUAAUACGGAGGCGGCGAGCGUUAUCCGGAAUUAGUGGGUGUAAAGGGAGCGUAGAUGGGUAGGUAAGUCUGGAGUGAAAGGCGGGGGCUCAACCCCCGGACUGCUCUUGACACUAUGUGCCUGGAGUGCAGGUGAGGUGAGCGGAAGUCCUAGUGUAGCGGUGAAAUGCGUAGAUAUCACGAGGAACACCAGUGGCGACGGCAGCUCACUGGACUGUAACUGACGUUGAGGCUCGAAAGCGUGGGGAGCAAACAGGAUUAGAUACCCGUGUAGUC
This 442-nucleotide ribosomal RNA is filed under the name uncultured bacterium. RNAcentral's name for it is "partial 16S ribosomal RNA". It matches the Rfam family "Bacterial small subunit ribosomal RNA", at positions 338 to 795 of the family's 1533-position model. The record is from RNAcentral.